This 827-nucleotide long non-coding RNA is filed under the name Olea europaea (common olive). Its description in RNAcentral is "long non-coding RNA (OEUR_LNC003571)". Lineage: Eukaryota; Viridiplantae; Streptophyta; Magnoliopsida; Lamiales; Oleaceae. The record is from RNAcentral.
UGUAAUAUUUUUUGAACGUUGUGAAAAAUGAUCUGACCGAAACCAAAAGAAAAGCUCCUUAAAAUCAAAUCAGAUUUUUUCCUCCUCCUGUCGUCUCCGGCGGCAGCCCAACCCAGCUCUUGCCCAAAUCUUAUCCAUUUUAUUUGAUUCUACUCAUCUCUCAGCAACACUCAUUCGUGUGAAUUGAAAUUGCCGAUCUACAAGACGAACGGACAUUACGAAGCACGGCCACAGUGACUUUGAAUAUUUUCUUUCUGCCUUUCAUAGUCUCACUCUCGUCACCCUAAGCCCUCGACAAGAUGAAGCCGAUGCUGCCUUUAGUCUUCCUUCCAUCGACACCAUCAGCAGCCGGUAGCGCAAGCAGCAAUGAUCCAUUUUUGGAAGAAGAAGAAAUGUAAACUAGGACAAUGGAACCGUGAACAAGUGAAGCUAGAAGUCCUCUCAUUGAACUUUUCUGUUUAUUUGUUAUUUGAUUUGAUUUGAGCCUAAAAUCAAGAUGAGUCAAUUUUGUGAUUCUUAUGAAAUCAAUCUUCGAAGCUGUCGGAGUGACGGAGCCUCGAGCCUGGAAUUAGAGUAAAGUCAAAUGAUCACAUUUGUUGACACAAAGGUUGACACAUCUCUCACUGUCGAGGUGUGGGUCCCUCGCCAAUAAAAUAAUGUCGACUCCCCAUGUGAGUGUGUUGUGUCAACCGAUGUGUUAACAAAUGUGGCUAUGUAGCAUGACCCCUGGAAUUAAUACCUAAUUGGACACUGCCCCUGCCCCCCAAGUUUGGAGUUUGUAAUCAUUUUGAUUUAUCUGUAAUUGAUUUUAAAACCCUUCUAGAUUA